AAGGGCUCCCCGGCUGCUCCCCGGCCACUGUGUACCCAAAGCAGCGGCUGAAAUAGCCCGGAGUCCAACAGCUCAGCGUCAAGCAGCUCGUGGCAAACGCAGCCGCCGGUCUUGACUGCCAUCGCCCAAGGGGUUCCUCUGGGCUCUCCCGCGAGCCAACAGCCGACCUCUCUCCAGCCUAGUCUGGGAAACUCCAGCCAACCCAGGAUCCCAUUUUGUAGUCCCGGGCAGACCCGAAACCCCUGAAAGAACUCCACUCCAGAAGACGCCAGAACAAGUUCCCACGAAUUUCAUGGGCGCCCUUCACAUGAAAACCUCAGCUCCCCUAUCCUCAAGGAACGGGGAAGGGCGCCGGGGAGGGACUUCGGUGGCCAGCUGUCCCUGGGUCGUGGGCGCUGUUUGCUCUGCGGAGCGCCAGCCCUGCACACAGCGGGUGCGGGAAGCGUUGAUGGGAGGCUGGAGGGCGGGGUGAGCGUAAACUAGGAUCUAGCCGGUUCCAGGCGUGGAGAAUCAAAUGUGGUCCUAGAUCUGUAAGUUGCGAAAAGGGGCUUUUGGGAGCGUCAGAGCUUUCUCACUCCGGCCCCCCGCCGCCUUGAGGCUGGCAGAUUUAUACCACACAGGUGGAUGGAGACCUAAACAAAACAGUCCCUGCC
RNAcentral lists this long non-coding RNA (653 nucleotides) under Pan troglodytes (chimpanzee). RNAcentral's name for it is "long non-coding RNA NONPTRT014173". The record is from RNAcentral. Lineage: Eukaryota; Metazoa; Chordata; Mammalia; Primates; Hominidae.